UGCCUACGGGAGGCAGCAGUGAGGAAUAUUGGUCAAUGGGCGAGAGCCUGAACCAGCCAAGUCGCGUGAGGGAGUACUGCCCUAUGGGUUGUAAACCUCUUUUGUCGGGGAGCAAAAGCCGGACGUGUCCGGCUGUGAGAGUACCCGAAGAAAAAGCAUCGGCUAACUCCGUGCCAGCAGCCGCGGUAAUACGGAGGAUGCGAGCGUUAUCCGGAUUUAUUGGGUUUAAAGGGUGCGCAGGCGGAUUUUUAAGUCAGCGGUCAAAUUGUGGGGCUCAACCCCUAUCCGGCCGUGGAACCGGGGGG
RNAcentral lists this ribosomal RNA (305 nucleotides) under uncultured bacterium. RNAcentral describes it as "bacterial SSU rRNA". It matches the Rfam family "Bacterial small subunit ribosomal RNA", at positions 335 to 639 of the family's 1533-position model. The record is from RNAcentral.